This 467-nucleotide ribosomal RNA is filed under the name uncultured bacterium. RNAcentral's name for it is "partial 16S ribosomal RNA". It matches the Rfam family "Bacterial small subunit ribosomal RNA", at positions 28 to 507 of the family's 1533-position model. The record is from RNAcentral.
GACGAACGCUGGCGGCGUGCUUAACACAUGCAAGUCGAACGGAAAGGCUCCAGCUUGCUGGAGUACUCGAGUGGCGAACGGGUGAGUAACACGUGGGUAAUCUGCCCUGCACUCUGGGAUAAGCCUGGGAAACUGGGUCUAAUACUGGAUCUUACCUUUCUCCUUAUGGGGUUUGGUGGAAAGUUUUUCGGUGUAGGAUGAGCCCGCGGCCUAUCAGCUUGUUGGUGGGGUGAUGGCCUACCAAGGCGACGACGGGUAGCCGGCCUGAGAGGGUGAUCGGCCACAUUGGGACUGAGAUACGGCCCAGACUCCUACGGGAGGCAGCAGUGGGGAAUAUUGCACAAUGGGCGGAAGCCUGAUGCAGCGACGCCGCGUGAGGGAUGACGGCCUUCGGGUUGUAAACCUCUUUCAGCAGGGACGAAGCGUAAGUGACGGUACCUGCAGAAGAAGCACCGGCUAACUAUGUG